AGAGUUUGAUCCUGGCUCAGGACGAACGCUGGCGGCAUGCCUAAUACAUGCAAGUCGAGCGGACUUGAUGAGAAGCUUGCUUCUCUGAUAGUUAGCGGCGGACGGGUGAGUAACACGUAGGCAACCUGCCCUCAAGCUUGGGACAACUACCGGAAACGGUAGCUAAUACCGAAUACUUGUUUUCUUCGCCUGAAGAGAACUGGAAAGAUGGAGUAAUCUAUCACUUGAGGAUGGGCCUGCGGCGCAUUAGCUAGUUGGUGAGGUAACGGCUCACCAAGGCGACGAUGCGUAGCCGACCUGAGAGGGUGAUCGGCCACACUGGGACUGAGACACGGCCCAGACUCCUACGGGAGGCAGCAGUAGGGAAUCUUCCGCAAUGGGCGAAAGCCUGACGGAGCAAUGCCGCGUGAGUGAUGAAGGUUUUCGGAUCGUAAAGCUCUGUUGCCAGGGAAGAACGCUUAGGAGAGUAACUGCUCCUGAGGUGACGGUACCUGAGAAGAAAGCCCCGGCUAACUACGUGCCAGCAGCCGCGGUAAUACGUAGGGGGCAAGCGUUGUCCGGAAUUAUUGGGCGUAAAGCGCGCGCAGGCGGUCAUUUAAGUCUGGUGUUUAAUCCCGGGGCUCAACCCCGGAUCGCACUGGAAACUGGGUGACUUGAGUGCAGAAGAGGAGAGUGGAAUUCCACGUGUAGCGGUGAAAUGCGUAGAGAUGUGGAGGAACACCAGUGGCGAAGGCGACUCUCUGGGCUGUA
This 750-nucleotide ribosomal RNA is filed under the name uncultured bacterium. RNAcentral's name for it is "bacterial SSU rRNA". It matches the Rfam family "Bacterial small subunit ribosomal RNA", at positions 8 to 738 of the family's 1533-position model. The record is from RNAcentral.